AUUGAACGCUGGCGGCAUGCCUAACACAUGCAAGUCGAACGGAGAUAGGGGCAACCUUAUUUCAGUGGCGGACGGGUGAGGAAUGCGUCGGAAUCUGCCCUAUGGUGGGGGAUAACACAGGGAAACUUGUGCUAAUACCGCAUAAUGUCGAGAGACCAAAGCAGGGGACCGCAAGGCCUUGCGCGAUAGGAUGAGCCGACGCCAGAUUAGCUUGUUGGUAGGGUAAUGGCCUACCAAGGCGACGAUCGGUAGCUGGUCUGAGAGGAUGAUCAGCCACACUGGGACUGAGACACGGCCCAGACUCCUACGGGAGGCAGCAGUGGGGAAUAUUGGACAAUGGGCGCAAGCCUGAUCCAGCAAUGCCGCGUGUGUGAAGAAGGCCUGCGGGUUGUAAAGCACUUUUGUUCGGGAAGAAAUCAUGUCGGUUAAUACCCGGCAGUGGUGGUAGUAUCCCUAGAGAAAGCACCGGCUAACUACGUGCCAG
Molecule: ribosomal RNA, 484 nt
Filed under: uncultured bacterium
Lineage: Bacteria
Description: bacterial SSU rRNA
Rfam family: Bacterial small subunit ribosomal RNA
Source: RNAcentral